Molecule: long non-coding RNA, 777 nt
Organism: Notothenia coriiceps (black rockcod)
Lineage: Eukaryota; Metazoa; Chordata; Actinopteri; Perciformes; Nototheniidae
Exons: 2
Source: RefSeq, a predicted model, not a curated record
UCAUCACCCUUAAUAGAGAGGUGCAGGAUGUGGUAUUUCUUCGUCGUCUCAUUUAGACACUCAGUUUUUUAAGACGUUAUUUGAGGCUUCUAACCAAAAACACAUCCAGAAACCCAUUGACUUUGUGGUAAGCGAACCAAAAUGCAGAAAAACUGACUAAUUCCGAUGUUUUAGGACUCAUUCCUGCACCUCGCUAUCAGUCACCAACAUGCAUGGAAGACACUCAAAGCAAUUUAAGCCAUUUUCCCUUUUUUUUAAAUUACCUUUUUAAAACAUAUUACGUUGAAUAUUGCGUGUGCGUGGAGCGUUAAUUGGUUUUACCGUGAGGAGGACUCGGAGGAAACAAGAUGCAAAGAAAGGGCUUCCUGGCACGUGGAUUGUAAAGGACUCAAGUGCACGAGGACACAUGGAACCAGUGGGCCAAUAACCACCAUGAGACUGGGAGGAACUGGUGAAUACAUAUGUUUCUGUUCUAGAUGCCGGUUAUUAGUGAUUGUGAAAACUCCAGAUUGUAAACAUGUAUCUGCAUAAAGUAAUCCGAUGACACAAUGUACUGCAAGGCCUUAUAAGGACUCUAUGGAUGUGUUUCAAAGUACUUUUGUAAUUGUAAUGAAAGUUUAACCCAAAAAGACUCGUGGUGAUAACAUUGGAUCUGAGAACUUGUGAAAAAUGCCAGUUUUAUGUCUUGAUUUUCACCAAAUUGUCACAUUUAUGUUUUAAUAAUAGUUUAGAGAAGUGUCUCUUUCAUUGCACCGCAUUAAAGAAGAGUCACGCCUG